GAAAACAAGUGCCCUAUAUAAGAAACUUUGAGGCAUAGAACAAACCGUAUUUGACAGUAAUGUACGAUAUAUAGUGUAGAUAAUGUUGUAGUAAAUGUAGUGCAGUAUAUUUGUAGCUCUCGUUCAGAUCAGCAAAUGUUUAUACUGUAUCAACCAGGCUUAUGUAUGGAUUUAAACAUUAUAUUGGAUUUAUUAAAAACAUGCGGAUGAAAUUUAUAGCCAGUUUAAAUGGCUCAAAGUACAUAUAUAACGGUUCUUAUGUCCGUAUUGCUGGGGAUAUGUGUGCUGUUGACUAUUGCUGUGUUCUGUCAUAGAUGCUGGAAGAAAUGGAUACCAACUUUAAGAUACAAGAUAAGACAUAAAAUCAGCCCACCACCACCUUUAAAUAUGCCAGGAAACACAGUAAAAUGAUGAUGUUUGAAACUAUAGAUAUAUUUACAGUGAGGAAACUUUUAUCACAAGAUGAAGCAGCCAGAACAAUAGAUAUAUUUACAGUGAGGAAACUUUUAUCACAAGAUGAAGCAGCCAGAACAAUAGAUAUAUUUACAGUGAGGAAACUUUUAUCACAAGAUGAAGCAGCCAGAACAAUAGAUAUAUUUACAGUGAGGAAACUUUUAUCAAAUGAUGAAGCAGCAAGAAGCUCUUGACGCCAUGAUAUAUAUCACUUUACAGGGAACAUGUUUUGUGCUAGAUAUUGAUUUCAUAUUGAAGGAAAGGGAUUUAUAUGAAUCAAAGAUUGUUCAGAAUUCCGAGAUUUAAGAGCCUGGCGAUUUUGGGCUUAUGUUGUACUUAUAUUGUUUUGUGUCGGUUCUAAUCUUAAAGGGAAGACGUAUUUGUUAUGGAUGCUAAAAGACACGUUUUAUAUGUGAAUAACUGUGAUCCAUUUUUGAUAUAUUGAUAUGUUUAUGUAUAUAUAACUUGGUGCUUUUACAUUAUGGAGUAUUAUUUGUCCGUCCACUUCAUUUACUAGUUAAGAUAAAUUUUAGCGAGACGCUGCAUUACUAAAAUAAAUGAGAUUCAAUUUUGUUUAAACAUUUGAACUUCCCCUUUAAUCUCAUAUUUUAUAAAUUAUUGUAUGUCUAUUCCAAAAUAUCAUUCAAGUAACAUACGUUUGCUUCUCUGUUUUACAGGCGAGGCAGGACUUAUUCUGGCUAUGCAAACAAAGAAACAAACUCAGUCAUUAUUCGUCAUAUUGACGUUGUAUUGUUGUACACAUAUCUAGAAUAAAACAUAUAUUACCACACAUCAGUAUGUGCUGAACUUGCUCGUGUAGACAUAUAAAUGUAUAAGUAUUACGCGUAUAGGCCUAAUUAAAGUUCAUUCAAAAUAUCAUGCCGCAAUAUUUAGUUAGUUUUACAAUUAACUUAUUCUGGUCAUUCCUAGCAAACAUAUUGUGUCAGACAUUGACGUUUGCUUUACUAAAAUAAAUCAUUAUUAUAUCAAUAUCUUAUCUUAUAUAUCUAAUUGUCUUAUAAAUGUAUGCAUGUACUCAUUGUAAAGACUAUUGCCAGUCCGGAUUGCGGAUUCCUGGCACAGCAUAACAUUUUACUUAGUAAGCAAAAAUGAACACUGAGGGCAAUCAACUGGUAUCGAAAA
Molecule: long non-coding RNA, 1596 nt
Organism: Ruditapes philippinarum (Manila clam)
Lineage: Eukaryota; Metazoa; Mollusca; Bivalvia; Venerida; Veneridae
Exons: 2
Source: RefSeq, a predicted model, not a curated record